CCAGGUGAGUACCCUUACCAGCUGGACCACAAAUUAUGAGUAAACGCUCUGAUCGCUACCUGCUGCUUCAAGAAGCAUUCCAGACUUCAUCAGGUAAAGCUUCACACUGAAUCCAGUAAGCUAUAGAUUCCAGACUGGUGUGUCUUGCUGCAGUGGUAUUCCCUCGGGCUGUUCUAGUGGAUAGCUUCAAGUGCAAAACCAUACAAAUGAAGUCUCAUUCACGACUGGCGCUCUUGUGCAGCAUGGUAGCAGAAAUCAUAAGCUUCUCCUGUAUGUUAUAUUUUCCAUUCCAAGAAGAGAGAGAUGGCAGCAACAGAAAGCAGACUUGUUAACACUGUUUAGGCUGGGCCAUGUAGCAGUCUCAAAGGCUACUGCCAUAUGCUGAUGGAAGUGGUUUUGCCACUGCGUCAGAACUGAUACUCAUUCAAGUUUUUACGCUGCGAAAUAUACCUUGUCUCCUCGUUUGAAGUCCAUCUCUUGAAAAGAAUGGGUGGCUCAAGAGGAGGAAGAAGGGAGAAGGAGC
Non-coding RNA from Struthio camelus australis, 523 nucleotides. NCBI's taxonomy places the organism in Eukaryota, Metazoa, Chordata, Aves, Struthioniformes, Struthionidae. The record is from RefSeq and is a predicted model, not a curated record.